AUCCACUUCCUUAUAAACUCACUCACCGAAUCAGCGAAUACGUCGAUAUUAUUCUCUGAGGCUACCCAGAACAUGUCCCAGUCCGCGUGAUCAAAACAAUCUUGAAUCAUGCAUUCAGAUUGGUCAGACCAGUGUUGAAUAGUUAUUAACACGGGUACAUCCAGUUUGAGUUUCUGCCUAUAGGAAGGGAGGAGCAAAAUUGAGUCAUGGUCAGAUUUGCCAAAAGGGGCCUUGUAUGCAUCGCGGAAGUUAGAGUAGCAGUGAUCCAGAGAUUUUCCAGCACGAGUACUACAGUCAAUAUGCUGAUAGAAUUCAGGUAGCCUUGUUCUCAAAUUUGCUUUGCUAAAAUCCCCAGCUACAAUAAAUGCAGCCUCAGGAUAUAUGGUUUCCAGUUUUCAUAAAGUCCAGUGAAGUUGCUUGAGUGCCAUCGUGGUAUCAGCUUCAGGGGGCAUAUACACGGCUGUGACAAUAACCCAGGGGAAUUAUCUUGGGAGAAUAUACGGUCAGCAUUUGAUUGUGAGAAAUUCUAGGUCAGGUGAACAAAAGGACUUGAGUUCCUGUAUGUUGUUACAAUUACACCACGAGUCAUUAAUCAUGAAACAUACACCCCCCCCCUCUUCCCGAAGAGAUGUUUAUUCCUGUCGGCGCGACGUACAAAGAAUCCAGAUGGCUGUAUCGACUCCGACAGCAUAUCCCGAGAGAGCCAUGUUUCCGUGAAACAGAGUAUGUUACAAUCCCUGAUGUCUCUCUGGAAAGCAACACUUGCACUAAUUUCAUCUACCUUGUUAUCUAGAGACUGGACAUUAGUGAGUAAUAUACUCGGAAGCGGUGGGUGGUGUGCGCGCCUCCGAAGUCUGACCAGAAGACCGCUCCGUCUACCUCUUCUUUGGCAGCGUUGUUUUGGCUCAGCCUCUGGAAUCAGCUCAAAUGCCCUGUGAAGUUCGGACAAAGGAUCAGCUUCGGGAAUGUCGUAUUCCGAGUCCUAAUGCUGACUGGAGGAAUCUGGGAAUGUCCAUGCGCAUAGAGCGCUCCUCAUUGGACCGGGUGAAGAAACUAUUUGAAGCUAACAAUAAGAAGAUUGAGGAGAAGCAGAAGGAGAAUGAUUUUGAAGAGUGCAUGAAAGAGCUUUGAGAAGAGGAGGAGAAAGCAAAAGCUUACAAAAAGGAGAAGCAGAAAGAAAAGAUUCUUAAAGCAGAGGAGGAUCUCUUCGAGGAGAAUGAUGAAAUCGCUGACAUGAUAGGAUUCUCAGGGUUUGGUUCCUCAAACAAAGACAAAAUUACCUAAAGAAAUGUAUUUGACCACAAAGAAAACUUUGCUGUCUGUAGUAUUCUAUUAGUGUCACUAUACUCCCUCUCCGGCCUCUAGGUCAUCAGGCUGCUGAUUAUCCUGCACACCUGUCACCAUCGUAUCGCGCACCUGGGCCGCAUGACAAAAAAAUAAAAAAAAAUAAAAAAUAAAAAAAUGCAUGUAAUUAAAUGAAAUGUAUGCAAUCACUACUGUAAGUCGCUCUGGAUAAGAGCGUCUGCUAAAUGACUAAAAUGUAAAUGUAAAUGACACUCACCUGGACUCCAUCACCUCCUUGAUUAACUUCCC
Non-coding RNA from Salmo salar (Atlantic salmon), 1593 nucleotides. NCBI's taxonomy places the organism in Eukaryota, Metazoa, Chordata, Actinopteri, Salmoniformes, Salmonidae. The record is from RefSeq and is a predicted model, not a curated record.